GGCAGCCAGGCCGAGCGGGAGUUCUCCUGGAACUUGAAGGGCCCGUUGAAGGCCUGCGAGAUGGCGCUCAGGUUGAAGAUACACACAGCCGAGGCGGCGAUGCUGUUCCUGGAGAGCGGGAAGAGAAGAAGAGAAGGCCGCCAUUGCUGUGUACCUCGGAGGAGAGGUGGACAGGUCAGCCAUCUGCUCUGAAAACUCAGUGAUUAUCUGCACUCAGCAGAGAAACAGCAGAGCUGGCCACACAUUCCCGGCAUAGAAGCUGUGUGCUGGAAGCUUCUGAGGGUUACGGAUGGACUACACAAUCAAACCAUUGGUGAUAGUUUGAAAUACUUAACAAGACUCUUAGAAUGGGCUAUCCAGCAUCUCAGAAGAGCUCAGACUGGAUAGUUACAUAACUUUUGAGAUACGGUUUUCGUUGUUCUUUUUGUCCCAAGCAGGAGACCGAGCAGCCACACAAGCCAAGCUCCCAUGGUGUAUAAAACUGACCUCAGCUGAACAGCUGCACAUUUAUCUUGGGCAGGCUGCACUAUUUCUUAAAGAAGGUUUUGGAAAGUGAGUCAGCUUCAGAAACCAAAAAUUGAAACUUGUCAAGGAAGGAAUAUAACCCCUGGGGUGAAGAAAGGCAGAUUUAUAAGAAGAAGGAGAGCUACAGAGGAAGGCGGUGGGCAUGGUGACAUGCUGCCUGUGUUUCUAAUGUCCCCUCAGCAAGCAGACCCCAGAGUGUCCCUAUCCAGUGAACAUUAACUCUAGGCACUGGAAAGAGCAAGCUGACAGCUAACAAGGAAGUAAGUGGCAGGAAAAGUAAGUGACUGUGGAAAUGAGAUUCAUGGGCAGGCUUGAUGCCAAAGAGAUUAAAACACACACACACACACACACACACACACACACACACACACACGUAAGGAGGAGCAGAGCAGCAUCAUAGGGCAAGCGCCUGUCCAGACCACCCGGGAUCAAGCAUCAUCCCGGAUUCCCAGCAGUCCUCAGUGCUGAAGCCAGGGCAAUCCCUAGGGGCACUGUCACCCAGCACAAGUAUCAGCACUUUGCACAUAGACAGUUUCAGAUCCUCUGCCUUAAACACAAAUGUUUGGCUUGUGUCAUAAUUGCUAGGUCUCCAGAUUAGAGAUUCCAAGGUAAAGACCCGAAAUGGUGGUGACCUCUGCCAAUCUGAAAGGGACUAUAUAUAGCUCAGGGUCUGCACUGCUAUUUCCUGGGGAGGGGACAGUGCUCUUGAGUCCAUGCCCAGCACACCGGCUAAGGAGAGCACAUGACUGCGGGAUUAUGUGUGACUAGCUAAUAGAGAGAGUGAAUGACAGCCCUGGAAGCUUCUCAGGCUUCAGCCAGCCCAGAUACUACCCCUCUGAUCUUAAGAGUAUCUUUAAAUGAGAAAAAAAAAAAAUGAUUUCUGAUCAACUGUUCAAAGGAUAGCCACGAGGAAAUGACAAUGUGCAUCUCACGGGUAUAAAAGCAAGCAAGAAUUAUGUUAUCUUGACUAUCAGACUUUCCAGAAGACACUGCUUUCAUUAUGCACAAAUGCAUGACUUGGACACAGGUAAACAUACAUCUACAUGCACCAGCAGUUCAGAAAGUGUGUGGAACACCCUCAAAAAUCAGAAAGUAGUGAUUUAUAGCAGAAUAAUUUGUUAUUAUAGUUACCUGAAAGCAAAUUAAACGUUUUUAGAUUAAUUUGAUUGUCCUAAUGUCAGUAUCAGAAAGCACAUAUGUUGCCUAUUACUUCAUUCAUAGUGAAAUAUUCUCUUUUUUUGCUAUUUCUUGACUGUAAGCUCAGUGACAUAAGAAAGAUUUCCUUUAAGGCAACUUAAAACCUUCAGAGGUCAAAGAACAACAAGGCCUAUGGGAAGUGAGGGAAAGAGAAGAGAAAGACGUUAUUUCAGGCCACAUACACGUUGGUGGUGAAGAUGCCGUAGAUCAGGUCCAGCUCGGGCAGGAAGAACGUGCUCUGCAGCUCGUGGUAGUAGAAGGGGACCUCCCCGGGCCGGGAGCAGUUCAGACGCGCCUUCAUGAAGGUGGUCCAGGUGUCCUCCAGGAGGAAGCGUCCCCCAAUGUCGUUCUUGCAGACCCGAGCAGCCCUGGAGAACACUGUCUUCCCGCAGUCAUGCUCCACAGCAUUUUCUCGGAAGAAGAAGUAGGUGAAGUUCCCGAUGUCAUAGGAGGACACGAAAUUGGGUUCUGCAAACAGGGGACGAGAAAAAUCUCAGCAACCACAUACUCUUAUUUUUCCAUAUCACUUUCUUGGCCUUUCUUCCAGAAGACAGGGUUUGGUUUAAACAAUACCUGGUUCCUACAGAAUAAAUGAAGACCCAGAGUGCUGGUGACUAUCCACAUUGGGAGCCUCGGGUCACAGACACAUUCUGAGAAAUGAAAAAUCUACAGUGAGAUUUCACACUCAGCCACACUGGCACUAAAGCUAACAUGACACACCACCAAAUGUGAGCAGAACAAAGUAGGGUAAUAGCCCUUACUUCAUUUGCAAACUCUUAUACCAUAUGCAGAAAUAGGACAAAAUAAGAUUAAAAAUGAAAUAUGAUUUAAAAAUAGAGUCUACAGUCACAUUUUUGCAUAACACUAUGAAACUCUCUGACUUGCAUAUAUGUACAUAAUGCAUACAACUAUGAUAUAACUCAUAUGCUUUUAAGAAUUUUAAAAAUGUUUAAAACUGAAUCAAAAACUCAAAUUGAAAAGGUAAUAUCUCCAAAUUAGCUUUCACAAUUUCUGUUACUAUGGUGAUGGUGUAACUGUGAAAAUCAAGCUUUAUUCUCUUAUUUCUGGGUCACAAGGGGAGCCCAUUGAGAUGAGGGAAGAAUGUUGAGAUGGAUCCAUUAUCUGGAUACAUUUUGGUUUCAAAAUUACUUUAAAUAUAGGAUUCAUAAAUGUGGAAUUUAUGGGAAAGCCUUGGUUUAACAACCAAGCUCAUUAGGAAAUAGAAAACAGCGACAGAAUUUUACAUAUAGGACUUGUUACCUUUUCAACUUGCUUUUUGGGUUCUUUGGUAAUAGAACAUAUACCCUACCAGACUCUUGAGAUAGCCUUAUUUAUUUUUAAAAAUCCCCAAUAAACACGUUUCUCACAAA
Cavia porcellus (domestic guinea pig) is the source of this 3092-nucleotide long non-coding RNA. RefSeq lists it as uncharacterized. The transcript has 2 exons. Lineage: Eukaryota; Metazoa; Chordata; Mammalia; Rodentia; Caviidae. The record is from RefSeq and is a predicted model, not a curated record.